UACAGAGGGGGCAAGCGUUAUUCGGAAUUACUGGGCGUAAAGGGCUCGUAGGUGGCCAACUAAGUCAGACGUGAAAUCCCUCAGCUUAACUGGGGAACUGCGUCUGAUACUGGAUGGCUUGAGUUUGGGAGAGGGAUGCGGAAUUCCAGGUGUAGCGGUGAAAUGCGUAGAUAUCUGGAGGAACACCGGUGGCGAAGGCGGCAUCCUGGACCAACACUGACACUGAGGAGCGAAAGCCAGGGGAGCAAACGGG
Molecule: ribosomal RNA, 253 nt
Filed under: uncultured bacterium
Lineage: Bacteria
Description: partial 16S ribosomal RNA
Rfam family: Bacterial small subunit ribosomal RNA
Source: RNAcentral